This 66-nucleotide ribosomal RNA is filed under the name Lacticaseibacillus paracasei. RNAcentral describes it as "Lactobacillus paracasei partial 23S ribosomal RNA". The record is from RNAcentral. Lineage: Bacteria; Bacillati; Bacillota; Bacilli; Lactobacillales; Lactobacillaceae. RNAcentral also lists the same sequence under 1 other name.
GCUGGAAGUGGAAGUGCAGCGAUGCAUGGAGCGGACCAGUACUAAUCGGUCGAGGACUUAACCAAG